AAUUCGGCUUCCGAAUUCGUCGACAACCUGGUUGAUCCUGCCAGUAGUCAUAUGCUUGUCUCAAAGAUUAAGCCAUGCAUGUCUAAGUAUAAGCUUUUAUACRGUGAAACUGCGAAUGGCUCAUUAAAACAGUUAUAGUUUAUUUGAUGGUCUCUUUUACAUGGAUAACCAUGGUAAUUCUAUGGCUAAUACAUGCGCACUGGCCUCCUUCUYUGGAGGGGCUGUGUUUAUUAGAUACAAAACCAACCCACAUUGUGGAGUCCUGGUGAUUCAUAGUAACCGAACGGAUCGCAGUUGGCUUCGGCCCGCGAUGGAUCUUUCAAGUUUCUGACCUAUCAGCUUUCGACGGUAGGGUAUUGGCCUACCGUGGCAGUGACGGRUAACGGGGAAUUAGGGUUCGAUUCCGGAGAGGGAGCCUGAGAARCGGCUACCACAUCUAAGGAAGGCAGCAGGCGCGCAAAWUACCCAAUGAAARCAGUUUCGAGGUAGUGACGAGAAAUAACAAUACAGGGCAUUUUAUGCUCUGUAAUUGGAAUGAUGGGAAUGUAAAACCCUUCCAGAGUAACAAUUGGAGGGCAAGUCUGGUGCCAGCAGCCGCGGUAAUUCCAGCUCCAAUAGUGUAUAUUAGAGUUGUUGCAGUUAAAAAGCUCGUAGUUGGAUUUCUGUCGUGGUCAUCCGGCUCCGCCUGUAUGGGUGUGCGCCUGGUUUGCCCGCGGCUUUCUUCCGGUAGCCUACCGCGCUUCACUGCGUGCGUUGGUGUUCCCCGGAACUUUUACUUUGAGAAAAAUAGAGYGUUUCAAGCAGGCUUGUCGCCCUGAAUACUUCAGCAUGGAAUAAUAAGAUAGGACCUUGGUUCUAUUUYGUUGGUUUCUAGGACCAAGGUAAUGGUUAAUAGGGACAGUUGGGGGCAUUCGUAUUUAACUGUCAGAGGUGAAAUUCUUAGAUUUGUUAAAGACGAACUACUGCGAAAGCAUUUGCCAAGGAUGUUUUCAUUAAUCAAGAACGACAGUAGGGGGUUUGAAGACGAUUAGAUACCGUCGUAAUCUCUACCAUAAACUAUGCCGACUAGAGAUAGGGAAUGCAUUAUUCCAAUCCUCCYUGCACCUCAUGAGAAAUCAAAGUCUCUGGGUUCUGGGGGGAGUAUGGUCGCAAGGCUGAAACUUAAAGGAAUUGACGGAAGGGCACCACCAGGCGUGGAGCCUGCGGCWUAAUUUGACUCAACACGGGGAAACUCACCAGGUCCAGACAUGGGAAGGAUUGACAGAUUGAUAGCUCUUUCUUGAUUCUAUGGGUGGUGGUGCAUGGCCGAAGCCGAAUU
RNAcentral lists this ribosomal RNA (1318 nucleotides) under Eimeria porci. Its description in RNAcentral is "SSU rRNA". It matches the Rfam family "Eukaryotic small subunit ribosomal RNA", at positions 1 to 1311 of the family's 1831-position model. The record is from RNAcentral. Lineage: Eukaryota; Apicomplexa; Conoidasida; Eucoccidiorida; Eimeriidae.